AGCAGCAGCCACGGUAAUACAGAGGGUGCGAGCGUUAAUCGGAUUUACUGGGCGUAAAGCGUGCGUAGGCGGCUAAUUGAGUCGGAUGUGAAAUCCCCGAGCUUAACUUGGGAAUUGCAUUCGAUACUGGUUAGCUAGAGUGUGGGAGAGGAUGGUAGAAUUCCAGGUGUAGCGGUGAAAUGCGUAGAGAUCUGGAGGAAUACCGAUGGCGAAGGCAGCCAUCUGGCCUAACACUGACGCUGAGGUACGAAAGCAUGGGGAGCAAACAGGAUUAGAUACCCGAGUAGUCCCUGUCUCUUAUAC
Molecule: ribosomal RNA, 303 nt
Filed under: uncultured bacterium
Lineage: Bacteria
Description: partial 16S ribosomal RNA
Rfam family: Bacterial small subunit ribosomal RNA
Source: RNAcentral